CUCCUGCACCUGAGUGGGCUCUCUGUGGGCACUCUAACUUCCUCCCACAGGCAUGACAUGCUUGUUAGUUACCAGGCCUGGGUCUGGGGGGACUUGGUCAUGGAGGAGGGGGUUUCCCCUCACUACCACUGGAUGCUGCUGCCCCUCCCUGGGAUGCGGGUACUUGCUGAUUUCAGGGAAUCCUGCAGGAAAGCCUGAAGAAUACCUUUCUCCAAGUGUGCCUGACCCACUCUCACCCCACAUGUCAUCACUACUCACCUGCCCUAAAGCUUUCAGCAUUGGAGCUCUGCCCUGAUAGAUUACUUACCUAAGGAAGCUCAUUUGAACUUUGCUCCCACAUUAAUCAUUCUUGAGAAAAAGAAAAAUAGCUCUGUUUCCUGUUUAGUAACCUACCUAAAGACACUUACCUGAAGACUGCUGCUGCCUGUGAACUUUAGGGAUUUGCCUAAAAACACUAAUCAAAGUUGUUAACUGGUUAACUUGUGACAGUAUCCUGCAUUUGGGUCCUUCAGUGAAGCCUUGGCAGAAUGCAGAGACUUUGAAAAGAUCAAUACAAACCUCAUGCCUUCAUGGUUAAUGUAGCUUGUUAGCUUAGUUACUGUGUCAGUGCAGUCUAUUUACGACACUAACAGCCAUCUAAUACUACGCUAUAUGCACUGUGUGUUUGACUCUGUUGUAAGUGUGUGCCUUGCCUGAACAUUGUUAAAUGAAAUAUCCCCUGGCCUG
This is a long non-coding RNA of Oreochromis aureus, 726 nucleotides long. RefSeq lists it as uncharacterized. The record is from RefSeq and is a predicted model, not a curated record. Lineage: Eukaryota; Metazoa; Chordata; Actinopteri; Cichliformes; Cichlidae. The transcript has 3 exons.